AUUGAACGCUAGCGGGAUGCUUUACACAUGCAAGUCGAACGGCAGCGCGGACUUCGGUCUGGCGGCGAGUGGCGAACGGGUGAGUAAUGUAUCGGAACGUGCCCAGUAGCGGGGGAUAACUACGCGAAAGCGUAGCUAAUACCGCAUACGCCCUACGGGGGAAAGCCGGGGAUCGUAAGACCUUGCACUAUUGGAGCGGCCGAUAGCGGAUUAGCUAGUUGGUGAGGUAACGGCUCACCAAGGCGACGAUCCGUAGCUGGUUUGAGAGGACGACCAGCCACACUGGGACUGAGACACGGCCCAGACUCCUACGGGAGGCAGCAGUGGGGAAUUUUGGACAAUGGGGGCAACCCUGAUCCAGCCAUCCCGCGUGUGCAAUGAAGGCCUUCGGGUUGUAAAGCACUUUUGGCAGGAAAGAAACGUCGCGGGCUAAUACCCCGUGGAACUGACGGUACCUGCAGAAUAAGCACCGGCUAACUACGUG
Molecule: ribosomal RNA, 484 nt
Filed under: uncultured bacterium
Lineage: Bacteria
Description: partial 16S ribosomal RNA
Rfam family: Bacterial small subunit ribosomal RNA
Source: RNAcentral